This is a long non-coding RNA of Cebus imitator (Panamanian white-faced capuchin), 646 nucleotides long. RefSeq lists it as uncharacterized. The transcript has 3 exons. Lineage: Eukaryota; Metazoa; Chordata; Mammalia; Primates; Cebidae. The record is from RefSeq and is a predicted model, not a curated record.
GAUUUGUUGUCCACUUAUUAAAUGGCUAAAUGAGUGAGACUAAUAACAAAAAAUGCAUUGGUAUGGAAAACUUUUAAUAAUACCUCCGAGUAUUCAUUGAUGGCAAAUUCAGUUAGGACAUGUGAUGAUUAUGUCAUGUGAUUUCAAAGUCCUUUGUCAGAUAAAUAAAAAUUCCAAAGCUUUCAAGCCUAAAGUUUACCCUAAAGUGCAGAAUUUUGAGUUUCAUGAUUUUACAUCUUACGCUUCUGUAACAGGCUAUCAGAAGAGACUGAAAUCAUUAGAGGAGAAACAGAGUAGAUGAAACAAUUUUGAAAAAAGUGAAAGGAAGAAUGUUAUAGUAACAUUGCAACAAUUAGCUAAAGCAUACCUGCACCACUGGAGAAAAUUGAGACAGAAUCUUGCUGUGCUGCCUAGGCUGGCCUUGAACUCCUGGACUUAAGUGAUAGAUCCUCCCUACACCUCAGCCUCCUAAGUAUUUGGGACAGUUUUUAAACAAAGUAAUGCAUGCUUAUUAUACAAACUUAAACAAUUCUGAAUUGCCAUGUAAAAAAUUAAUAAAAUCCUAUUUUUUCCUUCAAUUCCAUACUUCUAGAGGUAACUAAUGUUAAAAUUGAUGUGUGCUCUUCAACAUCUAUCUUGUGUCCUU